AGCUAUCUUACAAUUCCCUUCAAUCCCUAAGCUAAAUUUGGCUCGUAAUAGCUCCAACAGCCGUUUAUUGAUCCAGCGAGCAGAUUGACAGCGCAGUAUGGUGUUAGUACAUGUUCACUUUAGAGACUUUUUCGCUAGACCUACGUUCUUGCAUAUGCGGGUGAAAAGACCAGUCCCACCUCUUGUCCAUAACAGUAACGUGCUAGAAUUGGACGCCGGGGGCACUCCUAUUCUGGUUGUUAUCACAGCGUCACCCCAAGGAUGAGUCCUGACAGUUUUCUCCAUUGCCGAAAAUCAUGUGUGCGAUAUGCAAGCCAAAGAGUGCGAGAAGAGUCCCUAAAAUGUCACGGCAACUGGAAAGGCGACUGUUGAGGCAAUUGGUCUUCAGCGCAGCACGCGAUAACUGUUGUACAGCGAAGCAGUGGCAGAGCCUACAAAUGAUGCGCAAGAGCUGCUGCGUUUAUAGGCAGGCGGGAAGGCAAGGGGAAAGAAUUAGCGGGAGUCCAAAUGCGGGUGUCGCUGUUGUCGGGGUUUGGCGCAAACGAGGCAAUUCUCCCAAGGAAGACAUUGCAAAAGCCACGACACACGAUGCACAACACACCUGGGGCAGUGGUUGCCUUCCCAGCAGUUUGUUGCCAGGUGGAAGUGGGCAAAAAUGACAGCCGGGGCCAAAGGCAAGGGUGCAACGGCUUACCUCCUGGAACAAGUACAUCGCAAAAUCUGUUUUUUUCUGGCCAUCCUCGACUGAGGUAAAGCUGCUUUCUUGUUUCGGUAGGUGUUGUGGUCAUUACACUCGCCGUUACUGCUGUAAGAGACUUCGAAAUGAGCAAAGACAUGGCUUUCAUCAAUGGAUUAACUUCAUUGCGGAUUCCUCCCAAGAACGCCUCUAACGAAGGGGUAGACCGUCUCUAAGCUUGGCCACGGAAUGCUGCUGGACGAUUUGCAUUGUGCAGUGCGCAAAGUCUAACAGGAGACAAGAGCAUCUGCCAUUAACAAACAGACGCACUUCAAGGGGUGGUCAUGUCCAAAAGCGGCAUGUUAUACCGUACGAACGCCGCCAUGCUUGGAAUGCAACAGUCUCGUCAGUAGCCUUGCUCGAAAA
This 1102-nucleotide long non-coding RNA is filed under the name Volvox carteri. RNAcentral's name for it is "long non-coding RNA (VCAR_LNC000857)". The record is from RNAcentral. Lineage: Eukaryota; Viridiplantae; Chlorophyta; Chlorophyceae; Chlamydomonadales; Volvocaceae.